Molecule: microRNA precursor, 84 nt
Filed under: Otolemur garnettii (small-eared galago)
Lineage: Eukaryota; Metazoa; Chordata; Mammalia; Primates; Galagidae
Description: miRNA (ENSOGAG00000027582.1)
Source: RNAcentral
GACUCAGCCGCGGCUCCGGGACCCGGGCGCCGGGAGGUGGUGGCGGCGGCGGCGGCGGCGGUAGCGGCGACGGCGGCAUUGGCG